ACAACAUGAACUUGAGCCAUGUGAAAUGAAGAACAAAAUAUAAUGGUGAACCAUUCCUGUAUGGUGCUACAACAUGCACAUGAGCCAUGUGAAAUGAAGAACAAAAUAUAAUGGUGAACCAUUCCUGUAUGGUGCUACAACAUGCACUUGAAAUGAAGAACAAAAUAUAAUGGUGAACCAUUCCUGUAUGGUGCUACAACAUGAACUUGAGCCAUGUGAAAUGAAGAACAAAAUAUAAUGGUGAACCAUUCCUGUAUGGUGCUACAACAUGCACUUGAAAUUAAGAACAAAAUAUAAUGGUGAACAAUUCCUUAAUGGUAAUAGAAUACAAAGCUAAACUAAACAAUGUAACGCAAUAAGGUUAUUGUAUACAAUGUUUGAUGUUUCCUGAAAUCCAAUAGUCAUUGAAAUUGCUGUUUUCAAAUACUUAGUAAACUCAACUUAUAACAUAACCCUCCCUUGGCUAACUUUAUUUUUAGAAUUGGGUAGAAAAGAUACAAGGUGAAUAUGAAAAACCAUAAUAGUCUUUGACAUAAUGAUCUAUUUAAGUUCUAAUAUUUUAUCUUUAUAAAUCUUCAGCUGGAGAGCACAAUCUGAUUGCUUUCUUUGGCAAAUGUUAUCACCUGUCAUGAUUAAUCUGUAUAAAAAUUUCCAUUGUUGGGUCAAUGGAUUUUGCAAAUUGCAUUCAGGUUGUGUUUCCCGAGGGGAGGGGGGGUGAUAAAGAAGUGUUUCCAUGGCAACUUUCCAGCAUUAUUGAUGUGUCCAACAAUUGAUAUAGAGCCCCUCCAAUGCGAUUCAAUGUUUCUUUGGUAACUGCUAUGCAGAAUCUGUUCAAGUUUUGAGGGAAUCAGGAAAAGUAACAGGUCUUCUGUUUAAACUUGUGGGAGAAGGAAACAGCUUCGGUACAUUACCAGACCUGAAUAAAAAAGUUGUUGAAAGAACGGUUUCAUUUGGAGACACGUGUCAGGAUGUCAUGACGUGUUUUGGUUCACCUUGUAAAGUAUUUUAUAAAGCUGAAGAUAAGAUGCGUAUCCAUUCUCCCUAUACAUACAAACUUAAUUAAUCAAAUAGAUCCUUCUAUUUCUUCAACUAAUUUUACACUUGGCGUGGGCGAACUCGAUGUUAAAUUCGAGACUAGUGGACAAAAUUUCUCUUGGUAUUGUGGAAGCUCGAGAAGAGAAGUGGUUUUGGACAAACCGGCAAAUAAAGCACGAGUGUAUUAUCGAAAAAAUGAAGACGUAGAAAUAUUCAUUGAAGAUUGUCCCCAGGUUAAGUCUAAAAAAUUCAGUGUUACAGCUGGUAAAAGUGUUUGUUACGACGAAAGUUUUUCUUAUGCGUGUCCUGGAAUAGAAGGAAAAAGUCAUCCUUGCAGUUAUGAACUAACAAUUAACAAAAAAACAACUAAAGUAUCUCAGGUAUCUGUCGGAUUGACCCUGAAAAUCGUA
This is a long non-coding RNA of Xenia sp. Carnegie-2017, 1445 nucleotides long. RefSeq lists it as uncharacterized. Lineage: Eukaryota; Metazoa; Cnidaria; Anthozoa; Malacalcyonacea; Xeniidae. The transcript is spliced from 6 exons. The record is from RefSeq and is a predicted model, not a curated record.